RNAcentral lists this ribosomal RNA (331 nucleotides) under uncultured bacterium. RNAcentral's name for it is "bacterial SSU rRNA". It matches the Rfam family "Bacterial small subunit ribosomal RNA", at positions 568 to 898 of the family's 1533-position model. The record is from RNAcentral.
CACGUAGGCGGUGACAUAAGUCGGUUGUGAAAUCCCUCGGCCUAACCGAGGAACUGCGGCCGAUACUGUGUUGCUUGAGGAUCAGAGGGGUGCAUGGAAUUUCCGGUGGAGCGGUGAAAUGCGUUGAUAUCGGAAGGAACUCCGGCGGCGAAAGCGAUGCACUGGCUGAUUUCUGACGCUGAGGUGCGAAAGCCAGGGGAGCAAACGGGAUUAGAUACCCCGGUAGUCCUGGCCGUAAACGAUGGGUACUAGGUAGGGGGAUUUCAAACGUCUCUCUGCUGGAGUGAAUAUAUUAAGUACCCCGCCUGGGAAGUACAGUCGCAAGGCUGAA